RNAcentral lists this ribosomal RNA (281 nucleotides) under uncultured Peptoniphilus sp. RNAcentral's name for it is "partial 16S ribosomal RNA". It matches the Rfam family "Bacterial small subunit ribosomal RNA", at positions 77 to 355 of the family's 1533-position model. The record is from RNAcentral. Lineage: Bacteria; Bacillati; Bacillota; Tissierellia; Tissierellales; Peptoniphilaceae.
UGAAGAUAAGACGGAUUAGCGGCGGACGGGUGAGUAACACGUGAGUAACCUGCCUUUUACACAGGGAUAGCCUCGGGAAACCGGGAUUAAAACCUGAUGAAACUAUCAAAUCACAUGAUUAAGAAAGUUAAAACUCCGGUGGUAAAAGAUGGACUCGCGUCCCAUUAGCUAGUUGGUGAAGGUAACGGCCCACCAAGGCAACGAUGGGUAGCCGGCCUGAGAGGGUGAACGGCCACAUUGGAACUGAGAAACGGUCCAAACUCCUACGGGAGGCAGCAGUU